This 323-nucleotide long non-coding RNA is filed under the name Lathyrus oleraceus (garden pea). Its description in RNAcentral is "Pisum sativum (pea) long non-coding RNA (PSAT_LNC035652)". The record is from RNAcentral. Lineage: Eukaryota; Viridiplantae; Streptophyta; Magnoliopsida; Fabales; Fabaceae.
AUAGAACAGAGGAACAAAAAGAACGAACUCUUGAAGCGAAGGCGAAGAUGUCUCGAAGAACCCCGGGAGUCCGGUGAAAGCUUUGGCGGAGGUAGCGGCUUCAAGUAUUUAUCUCUUCUUUGUUUCUGCGUCUGUUCUUCUCCUUGCCUUAAUCUCUGUUCCUUCUUCUUUUUCGAUUUUCUUUCGUUUUGUUAGGGUUGCUAUUAAGAUGGUGGUUUUUAGCUCAAACUUGUUGAGAUUCAAUGUGAAAUCUCAACAAGCUUAGAAAUUUAGAGCUCUAAUUAAGUGUUUUGGACUCUUUUCUGCAGAGUAACGGUAUCCUC